Molecule: transfer RNA, 85 nt
Organism: Felis catus (domestic cat)
Lineage: Eukaryota; Metazoa; Chordata; Mammalia; Carnivora; Felidae
Rfam family: tRNA
About the family: Transfer RNA (tRNA) molecules are approximately 80 nucleotides in length. Their secondary structure includes four short double-helical elements and three loops (D, anti-codon, and T loops).
Source: Rfam
GCCUGGGUGGCUCAGUCGGCUGAGUGUCUGACUUUGGCUCAGUUCAUGAUUUCACGGUUUGUGGGUUCGAGCCCCGCGUCGGGCU